GACGAACGCUGGCGGCGUGCCUAAUACAUGCAAGUCGAACGCACAGUUUAUACCGUAGCUUGCUACACCAUAGACUGUGAGUUGCGAACGGGUGAGUAACGCGUAGGUAACCUGCCUGGUAGCGGGGGAUAACUAUUGGAAACGAUAGCUAAUACCGCAUAAUAUUAAUUAUUGCAUGAUAAUUAAUUGAAAGGUGCAAUUGCACCACUACCAGAUGGACCUGCGUUGUAUUAGCUAGUAGGUGAGGUAACGGCUCACCUAGGCGACGAUACAUAGCCGACCUGAGAGGGUGAUCGGCCACACUGGGACUGAGACACGGCCCAGACUCCUACGGGAGGCAGCAGUAGGGAAGCUUCGGCAAUGGACGAAAGUCUGACCGAGCAACGCCGCGUGAGUGAAGAAGGUUUUCGGAUCGUAAAGCUCUGUUGUAAGAGAAGAACGGGUGUGAGAGUGGAAAGUUCACACUGUGACGGUAUCUUACCAGAAAGGGACGGCUAACUACGUG
RNAcentral lists this ribosomal RNA (505 nucleotides) under uncultured bacterium. RNAcentral describes it as "partial 16S ribosomal RNA". It matches the Rfam family "Bacterial small subunit ribosomal RNA", at positions 28 to 507 of the family's 1533-position model. The record is from RNAcentral.